CCUACGGGAGGCAGCAGUGGGGAAUAUUGGACAAUGGGCGCAAGCCUGAUCCAGCAAUGCCGCGUGAGUGAUGAAGGCCUUAGGGUCGUAAAGCUCUUUUACCAGGGAUGAUAAUGACAGUACCUGGAGAAUAAGCUCCGGCUAACUCCGUGCCAGCAGCCGCGGUAAUACGGAGGGAGCUAGCGUUGUUCGGAAUUACUGGGCGUAAAGCGUACGUAGGCGGUUAUUCAAGUCAGAGGUGAAAGCCCGGGGCUCAACCCCGGAACGGCCUUUGAAACUAGGUAGCUAGAAUCUUGGAGAGGUCAGUGGAAUUCCGAGUGUAGAGGUGAAAUUCGUAGAUAUUCGGAAGAACACCAGUGGCGAAGGCGACUGACUGGACAAGUAUUGACGCUGAGGUACGAAAGCGUGGGGAGCAAACAGGAUUAGAUACCCUGGUAGUCCACGCCGUAAACGAUGAUAACUAGCUGUCCGGGCACUUGGUGCCUGGGUGGCGCAGCUAACGCAUUAAGUUAUCCGCCUGGGGAGUACGGUCGCAAGAUUAAAACCUUAAAGGAAUUGACGGCUGAGAGNGCGAGACGACACGAGGAGAG
This 590-nucleotide ribosomal RNA is filed under the name uncultured bacterium. Its description in RNAcentral is "bacterial SSU rRNA". It matches the Rfam family "Bacterial small subunit ribosomal RNA", at positions 338 to 948 of the family's 1533-position model. The record is from RNAcentral.